Molecule: ribosomal RNA, 253 nt
Filed under: uncultured bacterium
Lineage: Bacteria
Description: partial 16S ribosomal RNA
Rfam family: Bacterial small subunit ribosomal RNA
Source: RNAcentral
UACGUAGGGGGCAAGCGUUGUCCGGAAUCAUUGGGCGUAAAGAGCGUGUAGGCGGCUUGGCAAGUCCGCUGUGAAAGUCCAGGGCUCAACCCUGGAAAGCCGGUGGAAACUGUCAAGCUCGAGUCCGGAAGAGGCGAGUGGAAUUCCUGGUGUAGCGGUGAAAUGCGCAGAUAUCAGGAGGAACACCAAUGGCGAAGGCAGCUCGCUGGGACGGUACUGACGCUGAGACGCGAAAGCGUGGGGAGCAAACAGG